This 253-nucleotide ribosomal RNA is filed under the name uncultured bacterium. RNAcentral describes it as "partial 16S ribosomal RNA". It matches the Rfam family "Bacterial small subunit ribosomal RNA", at positions 524 to 776 of the family's 1533-position model. The record is from RNAcentral.
UACGUAGGGGGCAAGCGUUGUCCGGAUUUAUUGGGCGUAAAGAGCGUGUAGGCGGCUUUACAGGUCCGUUGUGAAAACUCGAGGCUCAACCUCGAGACGCCGGUGGAAACCGUAAGGCUAGAGUCCGGAAGAGGAGAGUGGAAUUCCUGGUGUAGCGGUGGAAUGCGCAGAUAUCAGGAAGAACACCAACGGCGAAGGCAGCUCGCUGGGACGGUACUGACGCUGAGACGCGAAAGCGUGGGGAGCGAACAGG